GAUGAACGCUGGCGGCGUGCCUAAUACAUGCAAGUCGAGCGAACAGACGAGGAGCUUGCUCCUCUGACGUUAGCGGCGGGCGUGUGAGUAACACGUGUAUAACCUACCUAUCAGACUAGGAUCACUUCGGGACACCGGAGCUAAUACCGGAUGAUAUAUUGAACCGCAUUGUGCAAUGGUGAGAGACGGUUUUGCUGUCACUAAUAGAUGGAUCCCGGCCGCAUGAGAUAGUUGUGAAGGUCACGGCCUACCAAGGCGACGAUGCGUAGCCGACCGGAUGGGGGGAUAGCCGACCUUGGAAGUGAGACACCGUCCAGACGACUACGAGAGGCAGCAGUAGGGAAUCUUAGGCAAUGGGCGGAAGCUUGACGGAGCAACGGCGCGUGAGAGAUGAAGGUCUUCGGAUCGUAAUACCGUGUUAUGAGGGAAGAACAAAUGUGUAAGGAAAUAAGCAGGUAGUGACGGUAACUAAUAAGAAAGCACCGGCUAACUACGUG
RNAcentral lists this ribosomal RNA (497 nucleotides) under uncultured bacterium. Its description in RNAcentral is "partial 16S ribosomal RNA". It matches the Rfam family "Bacterial small subunit ribosomal RNA", at positions 28 to 507 of the family's 1533-position model. The record is from RNAcentral.